UACGUAGGGUGCGAGCGUUGUCCGGAAUUAUUGGGCGUAAAGGGCUCGUAGGCGGUUUGUCGCGUCGGGAGUGAAAACCCAGGGCUUAACCCUGGGCUGGCUUCCGAUACGGGCAGACUAGAGGUAUGCAGGGGAGAACGGAAUUCCUGGUGUAGCGGUGAAAUGCGCAGAUAUCAGGAGGAACACCGGUGGCGAAGGCGGUCCUCUGGGCAUUACCUGACGCUGAGGAGCGAAAGUGUGGGGAGCGAACAGG
Molecule: ribosomal RNA, 253 nt
Filed under: uncultured bacterium
Lineage: Bacteria
Description: partial 16S ribosomal RNA
Rfam family: Bacterial small subunit ribosomal RNA
Source: RNAcentral